Molecule: long non-coding RNA, 1351 nt
Filed under: Felis catus (domestic cat)
Lineage: Eukaryota; Metazoa; Chordata; Mammalia; Carnivora; Felidae
Description: lncRNA (ENSFCAG00000052453.1)
Source: RNAcentral
AAGCCAUCCCAGUGAGCUUGCGGGGCUGCCUCAGCGGCGUUUUGGUUUCCAUGUCCUUCCCUGGACUCCUGAUCCCGCACGACAGGGCCCAGGAGCAGCCGGCAGACGGAGAAAGGCACUGAGCGCCCGGGGAAGAGAAGAACCGGGAUGUAUGGAGACCCAUGGCAGACAAGUCUCUGGGACUCCCAACCAGACGCCCCCCUCGCCUUGCCUGUGUCUGGCCCCCCUCGCCCCCUGCUGUCCCAACCUCUAGCACACCUGUCAGAGGCCCCGGGCCCCACGCUGCUGGCUCAGGCCCAGGGGACAGAGCAGCAGGGCCUGCAGAGACCGUCCUCCCUGAGGGCCAACUGAGGUGAGGCCUGGCCCCCGCUGGCGUCUCCACCCCCCUGCCCCUGCCCUCCCCACUCACUUUACCGCAUCCAGGGAAGUGGAUGGGGCUGUGGGACAUCUGUGCGCUGUCCUAGUCCUGGGGCGGCUGGACAGGGGCCUGCGGGUCAGGACGCGAGCAGGAAGGGCUGUGAGGGCCUGGUGUCUGUGGUCUCACGGAAAGGAAUGGGGGGCGGGGGGUAAGCCCUACCUUCCUCUUUUGGAUCACAGAGAGGCCUUGACUUUUUCUAGUUUCUAGUUUCUAGUGAGAUAUCACAUCACCAGGCUGAACACCUGUCAGAAGGAGGCCCACCUGGUAUUAACCCGUGACGGACAGAGACAGAGAUGAUGGGAAGGUAGAGAUAAGGAGAUGAUGGAUGGUAAGUGGGUGGAUAGAACAUACGUAGACGCGUGGAUAUGGGUGCAAAUAUGGACACGGUGGGUUCGGGAUGAUGAUACGGCAGAGACACACAGACGAUAGGACGACGGGUAAAUGAUGAACAUACCCAUAGGGGGGUGAGUAGCUCCCCAAGUAGGUACAUCGGACAUGAGAAGAGAUGACAGGUAUUCACAUACAUACACACACGGAGAGACACAGACACAGGUGCAAAGAUGCAUAGUUACAUGGAUAGACACAGACAGAGGGGGCGCAACACAGAAAGGGGUUUCUGGCUCCCCUUCUGGUCCUAACAGGCUGACUCUUCUCAAACUACACAUUUCCCACAGGCAAAAGGGGCUCUAGAAAUUCUCCUGAUGACGUCAUGUUGCGGGGGUGGGGGGGAGUGCCCAGAGAGGAAGGAGGCAGGCGGCACACUGUGCAGGUAGGACGUCCUGUCUCUGGGUCCUGUGACUCUGGGCUGUGCUCUGCACUCACUCACCCCUGCCCCCCAGCUGGCUGGGUUAGGCUCUCUAGUUAGGGGAUGCUGACGGGGCUGCGGCGCUGGAGGAGGGAGGCCGGACAGGAGGAGUUUCCUGCUCAAACAUC